GAGUUUGAUCAUGGCUCAGGAUGAACGCCGGCGGUGUGCCUAAUACAUGCAAGUCGUACGCACUGGCCCAACUGAUUGAUGGUGCUUGCACCUGAUUGACGAUGGAUCACCAGUGGAGUGGCGGACGGGUGAGUAACACGUAGGUAACCUGCCCCGGAGCGGGGAUAACAUUUGGAAACAGACGCUAAUACCGCAUAACAACAAAGGCCACAUGGCUUUUGUUUG
Molecule: ribosomal RNA, 225 nt
Filed under: uncultured microorganism
Description: partial 16S ribosomal RNA
Rfam family: Bacterial small subunit ribosomal RNA
Source: RNAcentral